CAAGUCGAACGGGACUUUUUUCUGUAGCAAUACAGAAAAAAGUCUAGUGGCGAACGGGUGCGUAACACGUGAGCAACCUGCCGUGAAGUGGGGGAUAGCUCGCCGAAAGGCGAAUUAAUACCGCAUGUGGCCAAGGAAGACAUCUUCCUGACGCCAAAGCCGGGGCAACCUGGCGCUUCUCGAGGGGCUCGCGGCCUAUCAGCUUGUUGGUGAGGUAACGGCUCACCAAGGCUAUGACGGGUAGCUGGUCUGAGAGGACGACCAGCCACACUGGAACUGAGACACGGUCCAGACACCUACGGGUGGCAGCAGUCGAGAAUUUUUCACAAUGGGGGAAACCCUGAUGGAGCGACGCCGCGUGGAGGAUGAAGGUUUUCGGAUUGUAAACUCCUGUCAUUAGAGAACAAGGCACACGGUUUAACUGACCGUGUGUUGAUAGUAUCUGAAGAGGAAGAGACGGCUAACUCUGUGCCAGCAGCCGCGGUAAUACAGAGGUCUCAAGCGUUGUUCGGAUUCAUUGGGCGUAAAGGGUGCGUAGGUGGCGAUGUAAGUCGGAUGUGAAAUCUCCAAGCUUAACUUGGAAACUGCAUUCGAUACUGCGUUGCUAGAGGACUGUAGAGGGCAUUGGAAUUCACGGUGUAGCAGUGAAAUGCGUAGAUAUCGUGAGGAAGACCAGUGGCGAAGGCGAAUGCCUGGGCAGUUCCUGACACUGAGGCACGAAGGCCAGGGGAGCAAACGGGAUUAGAUACCCCGGUAGUCCUGGCAGUAAACGGUGCACGUUUGGUGUGGGAGGAUUCGACCCCUUCCGUGCCGGAGCAAACGCGUUAAACGUGCCGCCUGGGGAGUACGGUCGCAAGAUUAAAACUCAAAGAAAUUGACGG
This 881-nucleotide ribosomal RNA is filed under the name uncultured bacterium. RNAcentral describes it as "bacterial SSU rRNA". It matches the Rfam family "Bacterial small subunit ribosomal RNA", at positions 58 to 916 of the family's 1533-position model. The record is from RNAcentral.